GAUGAACGCUGGCGGCGUGCCUAAUACAUGCAAGUCGAGCGAACAGACGAGGAGCUUGCUCCUCUGAUGUUAGCGGCGGACGGGUGAGUAACACGUGGAUAACCUACCUAUAAGACUGGGAUAACUUCGGGAAACCGGAGCUAAUACCGGAUAAUAUAUUGAACCGCAUGGUUCAAUAGUGAAAGACGGUUUUGCUGUCACUUAUAGAUGGAUCCGCGCCGCAUUAGCUAGUUGGUAAGGUAACGGCUUACCAAGGCAACGAUGCGUAGCCGACCUGAGAGGGUGAUCGGCCACACUGGAACUGGGACACGGUCCAGAGUCCUACGGGAGGCAGCAGUAGGGAAUCUUCCGCAAUGGGCGAAAGCCUGACGGAGCAACGCCGCGUGAGUGAUGAAGGUCUUCGGAUCGUAAAACUCUGUUAUUAGGGAAGAACAAAUGUGUAAGUAACUAUGCACGUCUUGACGGUACCUAAUCAGAAAGCCACGGCUAACUACGUG
RNAcentral lists this ribosomal RNA (497 nucleotides) under uncultured bacterium. RNAcentral's name for it is "partial 16S ribosomal RNA". It matches the Rfam family "Bacterial small subunit ribosomal RNA", at positions 28 to 507 of the family's 1533-position model. The record is from RNAcentral.